GCAAGUCGAGCGGAAAGGUCUCUUCGGAGAUACUCGAGCGGCGGACGGCUGAGUAACGCGUAGGAAUGUACCCCAAAGUGAGGAAUAACUGCCCGAAAGGGUGGCUAAUGCCGCAUGUGAUCCACGGAUUAAAGCUUUAUGCGCUUUGGGAACAGCCUGCGUCCGAUUAGCUAGUUGGUAGAGUAAUAGCCUACCAAGGCGAUGAUCGGUAGCUGGUCUGAGAGGAUGAUCAGCCAGACUGGGACUGAGAACGGCCCAGACUCCUACGGGAGGCAGCAGUAGGGAAUUUUCCACAAUGGGCGAAAGCCUGAUGGAGCAACGCCGCGUGCAGGAUGAAUGCCUUCGGGUUGUAAACUGCUUUUGUUAGUGACGAUUAUGACGGUAGCUAACGAAUAAGGACCUGCUAACUACGUGCCAGCAGCCGCGGUCAUACGUAGGGUCCAAGCGUUAUCCGGAAUUACUGGGCGUAAAGAGUUGCGUAGGUGGCAUAGAAAGCGGAUAGUGAAAGCGUGUGGCUCAACCAUACAUCCAUUAUCUGAACUACUAAGCUAGAAGAUGAGAGAGGUAGAUGGAAUUUCUAAUGUAGGGGUAAUAUCCGUAGAUAUUAGAAGGAACACCGAUGGCGUAAGCAGUCUACUGGCUCAUUCUUGACACUAAGGCACGAAAGCGUGGGGAGCAAACAGGAUUAGAUACCCUGGUAGUCCACGCCGUAAACUAUGGAUGCUAGCUGUAAGAGGUAUCGACCCCUCUUGUAGCGAAGCUAACGCGUUAAGCAUCCCGCCUGUGGAGUACGAGCGCAAGCUUUAAACAUAAAGGAAUUGACGGGGACCCGCACAAGCGGUGGGAGCGUG
This 851-nucleotide ribosomal RNA is filed under the name uncultured bacterium. RNAcentral's name for it is "bacterial SSU rRNA". It matches the Rfam family "Bacterial small subunit ribosomal RNA", at positions 57 to 941 of the family's 1533-position model. The record is from RNAcentral.